CAAUUCCUCAUGUUUCCGCUAAUCUGGAACCGUGUGUGCGCUGCGGUUGCCCAUCUUGGAAACCCAGACUUCCCUGCUGACAGUCAAAAGGAAUUAGUCAUGUGGUUGUUCGGAAUGUGCAAUCACCUGAGACUAAAAUGACCUCACCAGAGUAAACGACAGAGCACAACAUACCCGUAAUACAGGAUUUGCAGGGGAGAAUGAACUAUGUACUAGCGUUUUGCCAUUCUUGCCCCACCCUCGCCUGCCACCAAUGAGCUUUUUCUUUUGUGAUGGGAUUUCAUGAUAUAGACCAUGCUGGUCUGUAAUCUACAGUCAUCUUGCCACAGGCUCCAGAUGCUAGGACUACAGAGCCUAAAAUCAGCCAGAUGAUCCAGGAAACUCUGGGAGUCCUGAUUCGCUUCCAAAGGCAAUUUGUUCUUCAUUGCCUGCUGCAUGGAUUGCUGUUUCAAUUAAGGUUUUCCAUGUUUCACAUAAAAGCAUGCACAGAGACUUAAAGAAUCAAUUUCAGUAUCACGGGUUUAUACACACAAAUCACCUUGCUUUCCCUGGUUCUCUUUCUUUCUUCUCUCCCUGGCUCCACCCUAUCCCCCAAUUCCAUUAAUAUUCAUUUUAAAAUAAAACACUUUGAUGUGUAUGUUGGUAAAAUCUUUUAACAUUUUUCUUUCUCUAAAUUUUAUAUUAUGAUCACCAAGAUGUCCCAUGAUUGUAAACAUUUUGCAAAUUUCACAGUAUAUUAA
Molecule: long non-coding RNA, 740 nt
Filed under: Cricetulus griseus (Chinese hamster)
Lineage: Eukaryota; Metazoa; Chordata; Mammalia; Rodentia; Cricetidae
Description: lncRNA (ENSCGRG00015043436.1)
Source: RNAcentral